GAAUAUGACCCCAGAUUUCCAGAUUGGGUUCUGGCCGCCGGAGCGGUCGGCGGCUGCAUGCCGGCACGGAUGCCGAACAGCGAGACGACGACAUAUACCUCCAUGGUUGAGAGGAGGUUCACGCCCUUGAUGUUCUUCGGUGCCUCAAUCGCGGAAGCCGACGCCGAGCAGCCAGGUCACCCGUUAUAGGAUGGAGCACCGUGUCGUCGACUAUGUUGCUCCAUCGCUCGCGGAGCUGCACCAUCAGUUGAGGGAAUAAUUUGUUUCGUUGGUCGCCGUUGUGUAUUGUCUCCAUGGCGCUCAUCCGACCGGUGCGCGGUGAUGCAGCAGCGAUGCCGCUGUUGUUCGUGCUCUCUCGUUGAUGUGAAGAAGAUGACGCGAUCGUCCUCCUCGCUUGUAUCUUCUUUUCUUUUCAAUUGAUGGCACUCGUGUGAGUGUGUGUUCAUACAUAAGAAAAACAACCAUUGCUAGAUUAAAGGUCGAUUGUACAGAAAUAGAUAGUACAGAAAUA
This 511-nucleotide long non-coding RNA is filed under the name Hordeum vulgare. RNAcentral's name for it is "long non-coding RNA (HVUL_LNC003238)". The record is from RNAcentral. Lineage: Eukaryota; Viridiplantae; Streptophyta; Magnoliopsida; Poales; Poaceae.